RNAcentral lists this ribosomal RNA (468 nucleotides) under uncultured bacterium. RNAcentral describes it as "partial 16S ribosomal RNA". It matches the Rfam family "Bacterial small subunit ribosomal RNA", at positions 28 to 507 of the family's 1533-position model. The record is from RNAcentral.
GACGAACGCUGGCGGCGUGCUUAACACAUGCAAGUCGAACGGAAAGGCCCUGCUUUUGUGGGGUGCUCGAGUGGCGAACGGGUGAGUAACACGUGAGUAACCUGCCCUUGACUUUGGGAUAACUUCAGGAAACUGGGGCUAAUACCGGAUAGGAGCUCCUGCUGCAUGGUGGGGGUUGGAAAGUUUCGGCGGUUGGGGAUGGACUCGCGGCUUAUCAGCUUGUUGGUGGGGUAGUGGCUUACCAAGGCUUUGACGGGUAGCCGGCCUGAGAGGGUGACCGGCCACAGUGGGACUGAGGUACGGCGCGGACGGGUACGGGAGGCAGCAGGGGGGAAUAUGGGACAAUGGGCGGAAGCCUGAUGCCGCAACGCCGCGGGGGGGAUGAGGGCGUUCGGGGUGUAAACCGAUUUCGCCGGUGACGAAGCGUGAGUGAAGGUAAUGGGUAAAGAAGCACCGGAUAAGUACGUG